Molecule: non-coding RNA, 959 nt
Organism: Danio rerio (zebrafish)
Lineage: Eukaryota; Metazoa; Chordata; Actinopteri; Cypriniformes; Danionidae
Source: Ensembl
CUCACAGAAGCUUGUACUGGUGAGUCAGAGAGAGUGUGUGUGCGUGUGUGUGAGUGUUUGCUUUCAGACAGAGAGAAAGAGAGGAAGAAAUGGAAAGAUAAAUGGCCUCACUGGAAGAUUUAGCAGAGAAAUAGCAGAGCAUACGAGUGAGAGGAAAAGGUGGAGAGCGGACGAAUCCUCUUUCUGGCUGAGUGAAUGAAUGAGUGAGUGAGUGAGUGAGUGAGUGAGUGAGUGGAAGAGCAGGAGCAUCGGUGGUCCUGAAGAAGAGCAGAAGAAGGAGAGAACGGUGCUUUGUGACGCAUCUGACAUCUCGUCCUCCAUCUUUUCCAUCCUCCACCCGCCCAUCCAUCCAUCUGUCCUUCUUGGAAGUGUUUCUCCUCCGUGCUUUGGGAUGCAACAGGAGCAUCUGGUGGCCGAGAGAGGCUGAGAUACAGCAGCAGAUUUACAGGAACUUUGUGUCCCCAUGUGAGAACCACGCCAAGAUCUUAUGAAUCGACCUCAUCAGUCAUCUCAAAUCCAGAGACCUGCCACGAAAUAUUCACUAGAGACAACUAAACACAGGAAAGAAGCAACACUACCUAUGAGUCUGCAUAUCUGCAAUGUGCUAGAAGCAACUAAGGUCUGGAAAGACUCCUGAGACACUCUCAAGCCUGUCACAUAACAGAAGAGUGAACGCACAAUCUGUCAAGCUCAACGCAGACCCCUUAAGGAGUUCUGGUCAUUUAAGGACGUGGAACGUGCGUUCAAAUUUUCCAAUGCCACAUGAACACCUCCCUGAAAAGAAUUUACUUAUCAGAACAAAGGACAGGGAGGUUAGAAUUUAGCCAAUCACGAGAAGAAUCAAGAACAGGAGAGGGUCUAACCAGAAAAGGAAGCUGAAACAGGAAGAAGGUAGUGACAUUGUGGUGGAUGCUGUUUCUGUUACGGUGGUUGCAUCAGUUCCUUUCUGAAACUUAUAA